UAACUGGCGAUGCUAACUGUAUUCCGAGCUAAAGCUAACUGUAAUAAUUAAUGGCUGGUGUUUCUUAACAGUGUGCUAGUUAGAUUAGUAGGUUAUGGGGUUUGAUAUGAUAUGUUGAUUAUGCCUGGAGUUAACUCCAGUCUUUAGUUCUUGACCUCAGAACACCCGAAUGCAGCUAGCGGCUCAAUGCUAGCUAACAGCUGAACUGAGCACUGAGGAUUGGAGGCUGUUAGCUUGGACGCUAACUGUUUUCCGAGACAGCAACAUGUGUACUUCUGAGGACAUUUCAGUUGGCAUCCAGAACUGGAACUUGCUGAAAGUCUCAUCUUGAGCAAAAUUCUGCCAGACUGUUGGCUCAUCCAGGGUGUAUCCUGCCUUCCGCUGAUGGCUGCUGGGAUUGGCUCUGGCUCGCCGUGACCCGAAAUGCAUUAAGCAAUUGACAAUGAUUUCUUCACUUGAGAACUUUGAGAUGAGCUCUUUUGCCAGCCUGGACGAGCUCAUCCAGCACUGAUUGAUUGGAGCUUCUGCUGUUCCCAUGGUGAAAUCCUCACAUCUCACAUGUGCACAGUCAAACAAAGAGGAGAACAUGAGCAAUAAACGCAGUCCUUGCACAAUCUCAAGUGGACGGGGCUUUCAAAAGCUUCCACAACACCACCUCUCGCCUCACACAAGACAAGUUUCUGCGUACCAUCGCCGAAGUGAAACUAAAUUGAUUAGCAAAGUAAGCAAUAAACAGUUUAUGAAUAUCAUGACUAUUCGAGAGAGAAAAUAAAUCUAUAAACAAAAACAGACAGACAAGUCGGGCAGCACAUCUGACACUCCACAACAUCUCCUCUGGUUUGAAUUAGACUUUCAUUCCUCAGGGCCCACGGGGUACAAUAAACACAGCUUACAUUAUGCCAGAAAUAGUCCAGAGAAUGUUAUCUGUCUGUAGGGCUCUUGCUGGAGGUGUCUGAUGGCAGGAGUGAUUAAACGC
This is a long non-coding RNA of Astyanax mexicanus (Mexican tetra), 976 nucleotides long. RefSeq lists it as uncharacterized. NCBI's taxonomy places the organism in Eukaryota, Metazoa, Chordata, Actinopteri, Characiformes, Acestrorhamphidae. The record is from RefSeq and is a predicted model, not a curated record. The transcript is spliced from 4 exons.